This 445-nucleotide ribosomal RNA is filed under the name Heterosigma akashiwo. Its description in RNAcentral is "partial Bacterial small subunit ribosomal RNA". It matches the Rfam family "Bacterial small subunit ribosomal RNA", at positions 1 to 448 of the family's 1533-position model. The record is from RNAcentral. Lineage: Eukaryota; Raphidophyceae; Chattonellales; Chattonellaceae.
CUUGAGAGUUUGAUCCUGGCUCAGAAUGAACGCUGGCGGCGUGCUUAACACAUGCAAGUCGAACGAUGAAGCCUAGCUUGCUAGGUGGAUUAGUGGCGAACGGGUGAGUAACACGUGAGUAACCUGCCCCUGACUCUGGGAUAAGCGUUGGAAACGACGUCUAAUACUGGAUAUGAUCACUGGCCGCAUGGUCUGGUGGUGGAAAGAUUUUUUGGUUGGGGAUGGACUCGCGGCCUAUCAGCUUGUUGGUGAGGUAAUGGCUCACCAAGGCGACGAUCCGUAACUGGUCUGAGAGGAUGAUCAGUCACACCGGAACUGAGACACGGUCCAGACUGCUACGGGAGGCAGCAGUGGGGAAUAUUGCACAAUGGGCGCAAGCCUGAUGCAGCCAUGCCGCGUGUAUGAAGAAGGCCUUCGGGUUGUAAAGUACUUUCAGCGGGGAGGA